UACGUAGGGGGCAAGCGUUGUCCGGAUUUACUGGGCGUAAAGAGCGUGUAGGCGGCCACGCAGGUCCGUUGUGAAAACUGGAGGCUCAACCUCCAGCUGUCGACGGAAACCGUGUGGCUAGAGUCCGGAAGAGGAGAGCGGAAUUCCUGGUGUAGCGGUGAAAUGCGCAGACAUCAGGAAGAACACCAAUGGCGAAGGCAGCUCUCUGGGACGGUACUGACGCUGAGACGCGAAAGCGUGGGGAGCAAACAGG
This 253-nucleotide ribosomal RNA is filed under the name uncultured bacterium. RNAcentral's name for it is "partial 16S ribosomal RNA". It matches the Rfam family "Bacterial small subunit ribosomal RNA", at positions 524 to 776 of the family's 1533-position model. The record is from RNAcentral.